UACGGGGGGGGCAAGCGUUGUUCGGAAUUACUGGGCGUAAAGGGCUCGUAGGCGGCCAACUAAGUCAGACGUGAAAUCCCUCGGCUUAACCGGGGAACUGCGUCUGAUACUGGAUGGCUUGAAUCCGGGAGAGGGAUGCGGAAUUCCAGGUGUAGCGGUGAAAUGCGUAGAUAUCUGGAGGAACACCGGUGGCGAAGGCGGCAUCCUGGACCGGCAUUGACGCUAAGGAGCGAAAGCCAGGGGAGCAAACGGG
This 253-nucleotide ribosomal RNA is filed under the name uncultured bacterium. Its description in RNAcentral is "partial 16S ribosomal RNA". It matches the Rfam family "Bacterial small subunit ribosomal RNA", at positions 524 to 776 of the family's 1533-position model. The record is from RNAcentral.